This 1952-nucleotide long non-coding RNA is filed under the name Homo sapiens (human). RNAcentral's name for it is "non-protein coding lnc-TMEM132B-4:11". The record is from RNAcentral. Lineage: Eukaryota; Metazoa; Chordata; Mammalia; Primates; Hominidae.
UCCAGGAGCUGAGAAUCUGCUUAAAUUGACUUAGCAGGGCUCAGGAAAUGGCAUUCUGAAGUCCAAAUCUAACACACCACCUAGUUUUGUAAGAGCCUUAAGGAGUUCCUAACUUCUGGGUGAGAGUCAGAGAAGUGGGAUCAUCACCCCCAUCCUGUACAUGGGAGGUAAGAAAGGGGACAGGAAGGUCUUCAGCCAAGUUUGCAAUUCUUGAAAGAAUCCUGUCUGAGACUGUGAGGCGGUUUCAGGAGCCCAUAAAUUUCUCUUUGGUCUGAGCCUUUUCUGUGUGGGCUUCUGUCACUUGCAACCAGAAGAGACAUCUGUUGAACUCAAAGGAUGAGAAAAGGGUAUCUGGGACAGAUGGGGAAGCUGAGGCCCAGAGAAGUUAAGUAAGUUGUCUAAGUUCACAAAGUUACCAGAAGAUUGUGGAGUGGUCUUCCAGGGAGAGUUAUCUUGUAUCAGGAAGGAGAGAUGAUUACUUAGGAAAGCCCAAGAAACAACAGGUAUUUGAAAGCUAUAGCAGUUCAUCUGGGGUUGAUCUGGGAGCAUACAGCAAAAAAAGAGCUAAAAUGCAAGGCACCAACGUAGAAAAGCCCACCUGGUCUCUCUUCUUAGGGUGGCUCCUCUCUGUCUCUCUGCCUCUGCCUCUUGUCCUAGCCCAGCAUGGCCGCAGGUCCCAGGUUCUGUGACAUCACAGUGCAGUGCCCACAGCUCACUGUUGGUUCCUGCCAUUGAGAUUAUCUGAUUGGCCACUGGCCAGCCAAUGGUGGAUCAGACUUUGGAGCAGGUGAUCCUUGGACGCCCACAGUACAUCACCUUCAUGAGCGCAUCAGUGAACACCAGUCUAAGGAAGACAUCUCUGAACGUAAUUUUGGAGAUUUUGAUGAGUUCCAUUGAAACAAGGAGGAAUGUGAUGUCCAGUAUCAGUUCUGCAGACCCAAGGACAAAGAAAAUUCUGUGAUAAACUCAUCCAGUGUGACUGUAAUGUGGGUAUCUAUUUGAUACCUCCAAGUAACUGUUUAUUCUUGUGCCAGUUGAGUAGAUGGUACGGGCCAGUUGGUGUUGAUUAGUGAACCACGGACAAAGGGCAUAUGUCACAUGAGUUGCUCCUGGAUAAAGUCACCCAGUCACUUCCUGAUGAAUAUCCUGCAUAAACUCCAAAGACAAAAGAGAGUUAAGGUUGUUUUUCUCACCUUAGACCAGGCAGUGAUAGAAGAACUGGGGGAAGAGAUAAUUGUAUUUAUCUUGGUGAGGGUGACAAAUCAUGGCAAAUGAGCAAAAUGAAAAAGGUUUGCAGAUUUCAACAAACUUCUAAAAGAUCAGCUUACAGUCAUGUAUACAUCUCUUCCUUUGUUUCUAGUUUAUUUGCAUCUCAUUACUAUGUUCUCGGUUUAGGAUACAAGACACCGGACUUUCAAAUCAACAAUUGUUUCAAAAGACUCCUACUGGAUUCCUGCUAGUGAUGGGAGAAAAUUAUCAUUCUGUGAGUUGUCAAUAAAUGUUUAACCACAGUUCACCUUUUUUGGAUUUUAAGAUGUCUGCGCCACUAGGACGCUCAGAAAAAUUACCCUCCAAAUGCUACUUGGAGGAGGAUUCAGUACCACCCUGAGAAGGCAACCAGCUACAACCUUGGUUGUAGUUUCGGUUGCAGAAAGAGCGUGAAGUGUGCAACUCAUGUCUGUCUUCAUUUUAAUAGGCUAGUUAAUCUGUAGCCAGAGAUGAUUAAGGAGGUCAUUAAAGGAAAACAAGCUGCCCACCAUGCUGAUGCCUGGUUGUUCAGAUCGUUGAGGUGGUGUAGAGAUGACGCACACUGGCUCAGUUUACCCACAUUUGGAUCUACGGACCUGCAAGGAUGAAAAGAAUAUGUCUAAGAUCCGGCCCUGCUGGAAAUUUUCCAUGCUCUUCAUUCGUUCUCCUGUAUUUCCUAACGCCAAUAAAAGAGGAGAUCCCUG